RNAcentral lists this ribosomal RNA (837 nucleotides) under Dactylonectria pauciseptata. Its description in RNAcentral is "partial large subunit ribosomal RNA". It matches the Rfam family "Eukaryotic large subunit ribosomal RNA", at positions 63 to 932 of the family's 3401-position model. The record is from RNAcentral. Lineage: Eukaryota; Fungi; Ascomycota; Sordariomycetes; Hypocreales; Nectriaceae.
AACCAACAGGGAUUGCCCUAGUAACGGCGAGUGAAGCGGCAACAGCUCAAAUUUGAAAUCUGGCCUUCGGGUCCGAGUUGUAAUUUGUAGAGGAUGCUUUUGGUGAGGUGCCUUCCGAGUUCCCUGGAACGGGACGCCAUAGAGGGUGAGAGCCCCGUCUGGUUGGACACCGAUCCUCUGUAAAGCUCCUUCAACGAGUCGAGUAGUUUGGGAAUGCUGCUCUAAAUGGGAGGUAUAUGUCUUCUAAAGCUAAAUAUUGGCCAGAGACCGAUAGCGCACAAGUAGAGUGAUCGAAAGAUGAAAAGCACUUUGAAAAGAGAGUUAAAAAGUACGUGAAAUUGUUGAAAGGGAAGCGCUCAUGACCAGACUUGGGCUUGGUUGAUCAUCCAGGGUUCUCCCUGGUGCACUCUUCCAGUUCAGGCCAGCAUCAGUUCGCUGCGGGGGAUAAAGGCUUUGGGAAUGUGGCUCCUUCGGGAGUGUUAUAGCCCAUUGUGUAAUACCCUGUGGUGGACUGAGGACCGCGCUUUUGCAAGGAUGCUGGCGUAAUGGUCAUCAGUGACCCGUCUUGAAACACGGACCAAGGAGUCGUCUUCGUAUGCGAGUGUUCGGGUGUUAAACCCCUACGCGUAAUGAAAGUGAACGCAGGUGAGAGCUUCGGCGCAUCAUCGACCGAUCCUGAUGUUCUCGGAUGGAUUUGAGUAAGAGCAUACGGGGCCGGACCCGAAAGAAGGUGAACUAUGCCUGUAUAGGGUGAAGCCAGAGGAAACUCUGGUGGAGGCUCGCAGCGGUUCUGACGUGCAAAUCGAUCGUCAAAUAUGGGCAUGGGGGCGAAAGACU